This 440-nucleotide ribosomal RNA is filed under the name uncultured bacterium. Its description in RNAcentral is "partial 16S ribosomal RNA". It matches the Rfam family "Bacterial small subunit ribosomal RNA", at positions 338 to 795 of the family's 1533-position model. The record is from RNAcentral.
CCUACGGGAGGCAGCAGUGAGGAAUAUUGGACAAUGGGGGGAACCCUGAUGCAGCGACGCCGCGUGAGUGAAGAAGUAUUUCGGUAUGUAAAGCUCUAUCAGCAGGGAAGAAAAUGACGGUACCUGACUAAGAAGCCCCGGCUAACUACGUGCCAGCAGCCGCGGUAAUACGUAGGGGGCAAGCGUUAUCCGGAUUUACUGGGUGUAAAGGGAGCGUAGACGGUGCAGCAAGUCUGAUGUGAAAGGUCGUGGCCUAACCCCGGGACUGCAUUGGAAACUGUUGAACUGGAGUGCAGGAGAGGUAAGCGGAAUUCCUAGUGUAGCGGUGAAAUGCGUAGAUAUUAGGAGGAACACCAGUGGCGAAGGCGGCUUGCUGGACUGUAACUGACACUGAGGCUCGAAAGCGUGGGGAGCAAACAGGAUUAGAUACCCGAGUAGUC